RNAcentral lists this ribosomal RNA (497 nucleotides) under uncultured bacterium. RNAcentral's name for it is "partial 16S ribosomal RNA". It matches the Rfam family "Bacterial small subunit ribosomal RNA", at positions 28 to 507 of the family's 1533-position model. The record is from RNAcentral.
GAUGAACGCUGGCGGCGUGCCUAAUACAUGCAAGUCGAGCGAACGGACGAGAAGCUUGCUUCUCUGAUGUUAGCGGCGGACGGGUGAGUAACACGUGGAUAACCUACCUAUAAGACUGGGAUAACUUCGGGAAACCGGAGCUAAUACCGGAUAAUAUUUUGAACCGCAUGGUUCAAAAGUGAAAGACGGUCUUGCUGUCACUUAUAGAUGGAUCCACGCUGCAUUAGCUAGUUGGUAAGGUAACGGCUUACCAAGGCAACGAUGCAUAGCCGACCUGAGAGGGUGGUCGGCGACACGGGAAGGUGGACGCGCACAAGACUCCUACGGGAGGCAGCAGAAGGGAAUCUUCCGCAAUGGGCGAAAACCUGACGGAGCAACGCCGCGUGAGUGAUGAAGGUCUUCGGAUCGUAAAACUCUGUUAUUAGGGAAGAACAUAUGUGUAAGUAACUGUGCACAUCUUGACGGUACCUAAUCAGAAAGCCACGGCUAACUACGUG